AGAACUUUCAGUGUUCAGACUUAUUGUAGAGAUGAGUAGGAGAGCUCGAUAGAUUUUUCAUUCAUUUUGAAGAGAACGAGAGCUUGAGGGUAUUUUUCCAGUGAUCAGUCCACUAAAUCAGAAGCUAAUGCUAGAAUUAUUUUCAACUUAGAGAAAUAUUUUCAGAAAUUCGAACAAAGAGUGGAUGGAAGAGAUGUUGGAAAGACAAUAUCCGAAUCAAUUUGUAAGAAACUAUCCGACACUGCCUUUUCUGAUUCACUGGUGGUGCUGGCUGGACAGUGAAGGUGGCAAGGGGAAGAGCGGAGGAAAAGCAGCGGCUGGGCUAGGUUGCUUGAUGGCGUUUGCUGGUGGAGCGGUGGUCGGAGGCGAGGUGGAGGUGGGGGCGGGGAGAGGCUGAGGUGCGGUGGUUUUGUGAGAAAUUGAAAUGGGGGGUUUGUGGACAUAAUUAGGGUAUUACAACUACAAAAUCUCAAAUUUUG
RNAcentral lists this unclassified non-coding RNA (479 nucleotides) under Hevea brasiliensis (rubber tree). Lineage: Eukaryota; Viridiplantae; Streptophyta; Magnoliopsida; Malpighiales; Euphorbiaceae. The record is from RNAcentral.